AUACGGAGGGUGCAAGCGUUGUUCGGAAUCACUGGGCGUAAAGGGCGCGCAGGCGGUUUGGUAAGUCAGAUGUGAAAGCCCACGGCUCAACCGUGGAAGUGCAUUUGAAACUGCCAGACUUGAGUACCAGAGGGGAAAGUGGAAUUCCCGGUGUAGUGGUGAAAUUCGUAGAUAUCGGGAGGAAUACCGGUGGCGAAGGCGACUUUCUGGCUGGAUACUGACGCUGAGGCGCGAAAGCGUGGGGAGCAAACAGGAUUAGAAACCCCGGUAGUCC
This 274-nucleotide ribosomal RNA is filed under the name uncultured bacterium. RNAcentral's name for it is "partial 16S ribosomal RNA". It matches the Rfam family "Bacterial small subunit ribosomal RNA", at positions 523 to 796 of the family's 1533-position model. The record is from RNAcentral.